This 659-nucleotide long non-coding RNA is filed under the name Accipiter nisus (Eurasian sparrowhawk). RNAcentral's name for it is "lncRNA (ENSANIG00000002048.1)". The record is from RNAcentral. Lineage: Eukaryota; Metazoa; Chordata; Aves; Accipitriformes; Accipitridae.
CAAAAAUAGUCCUGCUUGGCAGGCGGCUGGGCUCAAUAACUUAGAGACCGAUUUGUGGCCAGCUAUAUAAAUUGCCGAGUUAUUCUUGGGUUGCUAGUAUGCAAGCUGAGCUUUCAAUACUUUAGUGAAUGUGUGUUUUCCCCUCUUAAGAUGAUCAAAAGUACAGCUGCCAAGGACACCCUGAGAGCCGGGAGUGCUGAAUGAGGAGCUGGGAUGCUGGACUUGAUAGAAUAGGCAAAACGAUAAAACUAACUCCAGGCGUGUGGUACUGGAAGGAUGAUACUAACACACUUGAAUUUGCAAGCUCCAACCGAGCAGCUGAGGAAAACCUUAAGGAAGGACAAAAUAUUCCCUUUCAGGAAAUGCGUGUCAAGACUUUAAAGAGCAUCUUUCGAGGUGAUUGCAGUGCAACUCUCCCUGAAAGAAGGCUGGCUGACAAAGAAGGAAAAUUGCAUAGGCUGUCCAAGUGGCUACAACAUGAAUAUGUGACGUUGGAUGACGUCAAAUAUGCUGCUUUGCUUUUGAAAGAAGCAAAUAAGUCACAUCCCAUGUUGCCAUUUGCAGCAGUUAUCAGGUAUGUCAUUUAGAGUCUGGUUCAAGAAUUAUGUGUGUGUGUAGCUGGUAGUGGAGGGACCAGGGUGUAUGGGAAGUAGAAUAUG